CCUACGGGGGGCAGCAGUGAGGAAUAUUGGUCAAUGGACGAGAGUCUGAACCAGCCAAGUAGCGUGAAGGAUGACUGCCCUAUGGGUUGUAAACUUCUUUUAUAUGGGAAUAAAAUGUUCCACGUGUGGGAUUUUGUAUGUACCAUAUGAAUAAGGAUCGGCUAACUCCGUGCCAGCAGCCGCGGUAAUACGGAGGAUCCGAGCGUUAUCCGGAUUUAUUGGGUGUAAAGGGAGCGUAGGUGGAUUGUUAAGUCAGUUGUGAAAGUUUGCGGCUCAACCGUAAAAUUGCAGUUGAAACUGGCAGUCUUGAGUACAGUAGAGGUGAGCGGAAUUCGUGGUGUAGCGGUGAAAUGCUUAGAUAUCACGAAGAACACCGAUUGCGAAGGCAGUUCACUGGACUGCAACUGACACUGAGGCUCGAAAGUGUGGGUAUCAAACAGGAUUAGAUACCCCAGUAGUC
RNAcentral lists this ribosomal RNA (460 nucleotides) under uncultured bacterium. RNAcentral describes it as "partial 16S ribosomal RNA". It matches the Rfam family "Bacterial small subunit ribosomal RNA", at positions 338 to 795 of the family's 1533-position model. The record is from RNAcentral.